GAAAUGCGAUAAGUAAUGUGAAUUGCAGAAUUCAGUGAAUCAUCGAAUCUUUGAACGCACAUUGCGCCCGCCAGUAUUCUGGCGGGCAUGCAUGUUCGAGCGUCAUUUUAACCAUCAAGCCCCCGGCUUGUGUUGGGGACCUGCGGCUGCCCGCAGGCCCUGAAAAACAGUGGCGGGCUCGCUGUCACACCGAGCGUAGUAGCAUACAUUCUCGCUCAGGGCGUGCUGCGGGUUCCGGCCGUUAAACGACCUUCAUAACCCAAGGUUGACCUCGGAUCAGGUAGGAAGACCCGCUGAACUUAAGC
This 305-nucleotide unclassified non-coding RNA is filed under the name plant metagenome. Its description in RNAcentral is "partial contains 5.8S ribosomal RNA, internal transcribed spacer 2, and large subunit ribosomal RNA". The stretch from base 1 to 105 matches the Rfam family "5.8S ribosomal RNA", at positions 50 to 154 of the family's 154-position model. The record is from RNAcentral.